Molecule: ribosomal RNA, 478 nt
Filed under: uncultured bacterium
Lineage: Bacteria
Description: partial 16S ribosomal RNA
Rfam family: Bacterial small subunit ribosomal RNA
Source: RNAcentral
GAUGAACGCUCGCGGGAGGCCUAACACAUGCAAGCCGAGCGGUAUUUGUUCUUCGGAACAGAGAGAGCGGCGCACGGGUGCGGAACACGUAUGCAACCUGCCUUUAUCUGGGGGAUAGCCUUUCGAAAGGAAGAUUAAUACCCCAUAAUAUAUUGAGUGGCAUCACUUGAUAUUGAAAACUCCGGUGGAUAGAGAUGGGCACGCGCAAGAUUAGAUAGUUGGUGAGGUAACGGCUCACCAAGUCAAUGAUCUUUAGGGGGCCUGAGAGGGUGAUCCCCCACAAUGGUACUGAGACACGGACCAGAAUCCUACGCGAGGCAGCAGUGAGGAAUAUUGGACAAUGGGUUAGCGCCUGAUCCAGCCACCCCGCGUGAAGGACGACGGCCCUAGGGGUUGUCAACUUCUUUUGUAUAGGGAUAAACCUACUCUCUUGAGAGUAGCUGAAGGUACUAUACGAAUAAGCACCGGCUAACUCCGU